AUAGGGACAAAAUAUAUAGAGGAGACUUAAAAGAAAAGGGAAAUUAAGUCAAGAAAAAUAAAAAUAAAAUUGCUCCUCUGCCCGCACCACAAAGGUAUAGCAGGCAUCCUAAUAUAAAAAAUUACUUAAAAAACCCCACCCCCCCGGGAUCUACUGUUUUAGCAUAACCACAGCCAAGGGCACCGGCCCAGUCCAUCAGCGACGUUUAUUAAAAACUAGAAA
This is a long non-coding RNA of Ixodes scapularis (black-legged tick), 222 nucleotides long. RefSeq lists it as uncharacterized. The record is from RefSeq and is a predicted model, not a curated record. NCBI's taxonomy places the organism in Eukaryota, Metazoa, Arthropoda, Arachnida, Ixodida, Ixodidae. The transcript is spliced from 2 exons.